Molecule: long non-coding RNA, 540 nt
Filed under: Macaca mulatta (Rhesus monkey)
Lineage: Eukaryota; Metazoa; Chordata; Mammalia; Primates; Cercopithecidae
Description: lncRNA (ENSMMUG00000062475.1)
Source: RNAcentral
CUAGAACCACAGCAUAAAGCAGGAUGACAGUGGUGGAAAAAACCAACAAAACAAGUAAACAAACAACCAGUCCUCUCUCUUCUCCCGCCAGGCAGAGCUUCCCAUUAACUGAUUCUAACCAGAAGCCAGAGGUCAAGGGAACCUGGCUGAUAUAGCCAGUAGAGGUCAUAGAGAGCACAGAAGUCUUCUCCCUCUCCCUGUCCCAGGUACUUUGAAAAAUGUUUAAUGCAAUGAUAAAGAGUCUGUCCAAGAGUUUAAAAUAUGAUAAAAACAAGAACGUACAUCAAUUGUUGAUCCCAUCUGAUGGCAGUCUGUCCUUGAGCAUACAGCUAAAAGGAUUUUCUCCGUAUCAAGUGGCACAACUACGGUGGAUAUUCUGGAAUCCAGUGUUUACAAUGGUGCAACUGCCAUGUUCAGUACCUCCUCCUAGAUGCCUGCAGUCAGGUACUGGGAUCCAACACCUGCUGGCCUGCCAUGGAUACUGGACCAUGAUCUAUCUUCUGCCUUUCAUGAACUCUGCAUGUGCUUGUACUAUAGUCA